GAUGAACGCUAGCGGCAGGCCUAACACAUGCAAGUCGAGGGGUAGAACACUUCGGUGUUUGAGACCGGCGCACGGGUGCGUAACGCGUAUGCAAUCUACCUUAUACAGGGGAAUAGCCCAGAGAAAUUUGGAUUAAUGCCCCAUAGCAUUACGACUUGGCAUCAAGAUGUAAUUAAAGUUCCAACGGUAUAAGAUGAGCAUGCGUCCCAUUAGUUAGUUGGUAAGGUAACGGCUUACCAAGACGAUGAUGUGUAGGGGUCCUGAGAGGGACAACCCCCGCACUGGUACUUAGACACGGACCAGACUCCUACGGGAGGCAGCAGUGAGGAAUAUUGGUCAAUGUUUGCAAGACUGAACCAGCCAUGCCGCGUGCAGGAAGACGGUCCUAUGGAUUGUAAACUGCUUUUAUACAGGAAGAAACCCUCCCACGUGUGGGAGCUUGACGGUACUGUAGGAAUAAGGAUCGGCUAACUCCGUGCCAGCCGCCGCGGUAA
Molecule: ribosomal RNA, 494 nt
Filed under: uncultured bacterium
Lineage: Bacteria
Description: partial 16S ribosomal RNA
Rfam family: Bacterial small subunit ribosomal RNA
Source: RNAcentral